Dioscorea cayenensis subsp. rotundata (Guinea yam) is the source of this 1356-nucleotide RNA transcript. It is a transcript of the gene named cycloartenol-C-24-methyltransferase 1-like, with no coding region annotated. The record is from RefSeq and is a predicted model, not a curated record. The transcript is spliced from 12 exons. NCBI's taxonomy places the organism in Eukaryota, Viridiplantae, Streptophyta, Magnoliopsida, Dioscoreales, Dioscoreaceae.
ACAACCAGCACUCUUCCUCCCGGAAAACCAUUAACUGCUCUACUUCUCUCUCAUUUUUGGGGAUUGGGAGAAAAUGUCAAAAUCUGGAGCUUUGGAUCUUACCACUAAUUUGGGUGGGAAGAUCAAGAAGCAGGAAGUUCAAUCUGCUGUACAACAGUAUGAGAAAUAUCAUGUUUGUUUUGGAGGAGAUGAAGAGACAAGAAAGGCCAACUACGCUGAUAUGGUGAAUAAAUACUAUGACCUUGCUACCAGCUUCUACGAAUAUGGAUGGGGAGAGUCUUUUCAUUUUGCUCACAGAUGGAAAGGAGAGUCCUUACGUGAGAGCAUCAAAAGACAUGAACACUAUCUUGCACUACAGUUGGGGUUGAAAGAGGGAAUGAAGGUUUUGGACGUGGGAUGUGGAAUUGGUGGACCACUGCGAGAAAUUGCAAGAUUUAGCUCAACAUCUAUUACUGGCUUGAACAACAAUGAAUACCAAAUCUCAAGAGGAACUGAGUUGAACCGCUUAUUAGGAUUGAGUGAUUCCUGUAAUUUUGUCAAGGUUGCAUGCUAUAAGGAGAUAUACAGAGUUCUAAAGCCCGGACAAUGUUUCGCUGCCUAUGAAUGGUGCAUGACUGAUAAUUUUGAUCCUAACAACCAAAUUCAUCAGAGAAUAAAAGCUGAAAUUGAGCUUGGUAAUGGACUCCCUGACAUAAGAUCAACAACUCAAUGCCUUGAGGCUUUGAAACUUGCCGGUUUUGAGGUUUUAUCAGAAAAGGAUCUUGCAGCAGAUUCCCCUGUAACUUGGUAUCUACCUCUUGAUACUAGUCAGUUCUCGUUAACCAGCUUUCGUUUAACAUCAUUAGGAAGUUUCAUCACUAGAACAAUGUUCAACAAUUUGAGUUGUAGGUCAAGGCAUUAGAGUUUGUGCAUCUUGCGCCAGCAGGAAGUCAGAGAGUCUCAUCCAUUUUAGAGAAGGCUGCCGAAGGCCUUGUGGAAGGCGGAAGAAUGGAGAUUUUCACACCGAUGUAUUUCUUUUUGGCACGGAAGCCGGUUUCAAAUUAUUGAGGAGAUAUGAUGACAGAAAUUAGCUGAAAUUCGACAGCUCUUCAAUUAUAUCCGUGUUUCAAUUGAUAUAUUUGUUCUGGGAAAGAGUAGUUUUCGGUUUCGUUUUUGGUCUCCGUUCAUUUAUGUGCAUGACUUGUCAAAAUGUUGGUCAAGAUAUGAAGAUCCAACUGCAGACAGACUUAUUCUAAUUCUCCUUCAAGAUGUAAUUUAUGACAUGAGUCAUUCAUUAGUUAAUUUUAUCACUCUGAAAUGUCAAAAUUGUACUUUUUAACGGAGAAGGCAUUAUGCAAAUUAUGGGCUUUCGCAUUA